Molecule: small RNA, 87 nt
Filed under: Cytobacillus solani
Lineage: Bacteria; Bacillati; Bacillota; Bacilli; Caryophanales; Bacillaceae
Description: BsrC
Rfam family: BsrC
About the family: The 301 nucleotide sequence from Kouji Nakamura has been trimmed to a highly conserved ~85 nucleotide long core to form this family.
Source: Rfam by way of RNAcentral
UAAACCUAAAACAAUGAAAGCCCUUCCUCUCUUCCAUCCUUACGGCUCCUAGGCCGUGCCAGCGGGAAUCAGGUAUUACAAAAAUUA